Vicia faba (fava bean) is the source of this 231-nucleotide non-coding RNA. The record is from the annotation of a GenBank genome assembly. NCBI's taxonomy places the organism in Eukaryota, Viridiplantae, Streptophyta, Magnoliopsida, Fabales, Fabaceae.
AUGGGGGUGUGGUUUCGCCGGUGGCUCGCGCGGAGGAGCGGAUCUGGGUACACUGUUGCCGCGGAGGUUGAGUUUGUUAGAUCUGAUCGGCACAUAUUUGCAGAAUCCUUUGCGUUUCUCCCUGAUCUGCUUCGCUUCAAAUUCCUUGGUCUACCCUGUCACAAAAAGAAAAACAGUACAUUGUUGUUGUUCUUUAGUAUUGUUGAUAUACAAAGUUUGCAGGUUCUAUAG